UACGGAGGGGGCAAGCGUUAUUCGGAAUCAUUGGGCGUAAAGGGCGCGUAGGCGGCCUGGCAAGUCAAAGGUGAGAUCCCUCGGCCCAACCGAGGAACUGCCUUUGAAACUGCAAGGCUUGAGGCCGGGAGAGGGUAGCGGAAUUCCCAGUGUAGCGGUGAAAUGCGUAGAUAUUGGGAGGAACACCAGUGGCGAAGGCGGCUACCUGGACCGGUUCUGACGCUGAGGCGCGAAAGCGUGGGGAGCAAACAGG
This 253-nucleotide ribosomal RNA is filed under the name uncultured bacterium. RNAcentral describes it as "partial 16S ribosomal RNA". It matches the Rfam family "Bacterial small subunit ribosomal RNA", at positions 524 to 776 of the family's 1533-position model. The record is from RNAcentral.